RNAcentral lists this ribosomal RNA (454 nucleotides) under uncultured organism. RNAcentral's name for it is "partial 16S ribosomal RNA". It matches the Rfam family "Bacterial small subunit ribosomal RNA", at positions 330 to 800 of the family's 1533-position model. The record is from RNAcentral.
CGUACACUCCUGCGGGAGGCAGCAGUGGGGAAUAUUAGACAAUGGGCGCAAGCCUGAUCCAGCCAUGCCGCGUGAGUGAUGAAGGCCCUAGGGUUGUAAAGCUCUUUCACCGGUGAAGAUAAUGACGGUAACCGGAGACGAAGCCCCGGCUAACUUCGUGCCAGCAGCCGCGGUAAUACGAAGGGGGCUAGCGUUGUUCGGAUUUACUGGGCGUAAAGCGCACGUAGGCGGACUAUUAAGUCAGGGGUGAAAUCCCGGGGCUCAACCCCGGAACUGCCUUUGAUACUGGUAGUCUUGAGUUCGAGAGAGGUGAGUGGAAUUCCGAGUGUAGAGGUGAAAUUCGUAGAUAUUCGGAGGAACACCAGUGGCGAAGGCGGCUCACUGGCUCGAUACUGACGCUGAGGUGCGAAAGCGUGGGGAGCAAACAGGAUUAGAAACCCCUGUAGUCCCAUGA